UGGGGAAUAUUGCACAAUGGGGGGAACCCUGAUGCAGCGACGCCGCGUGAGUGAAGAAGUAAUUCGUUAUGUAAAGCUCUAUCAGCAGGGAAGAAGAAAUGACGGUACCUGAAUAAGAAGCCCCGGCUAACUACGUGCCAGCAGCCGCGGUAAUACGUAGGGGGCAAGCGUUAUCCGGAUUUACUGGGUGUAAAGGGAGCGUAGACGGCGAUGCAAGCCAGAUGUGAAAGCCCGCGGCUCAACUGCGGGAUUGCAUUUGGAACUGUAUGGCUGGAGUGCAGGAGAGGCAGGCGGAAUUCCUAGUGUAGCGGUGAAAUGCGUAGAUAUUAGGAGGAACACCAGUGGCGAAGGCGGCCUGCUGGACUGUAACUGACGUUGAGGCUCGAAAGCGUGGGGAGCAAACAGG
RNAcentral lists this ribosomal RNA (406 nucleotides) under uncultured bacterium. RNAcentral describes it as "bacterial SSU rRNA". It matches the Rfam family "Bacterial small subunit ribosomal RNA", at positions 355 to 776 of the family's 1533-position model. The record is from RNAcentral.